GGAGUUAGCCGGUGCUUCUUCUGUGAGUGAUGUCCUUCCUGCCGGCUAUUAACCCGCAGGCCUUCUUCCUCACUGAAAGUGCUUUACAACCCGAAGGCCUUCUUCACACACGCGGCAUGGCUGGAUCAGGGUUGCCCCCAUUGUCCAAUAUUCCCCACUUCUGCCUCCCGUAGGAGUCUGGGCCGUGUCUCAGUCCCAGUGUGGCUGAUCAUCCUCUCAGACCAGCUACGGAUCGUCGCCUUGGUGAGCCGUUACCUCACCAACCAGCUAAUCCGACAUAGGCUCAUCCGAUAGCGCGAGGCCCGAAGGUCCCCCGCUUUCCCCCGUAGGGCGUAUGCGGUAUUAGCCUGGGUUUCCCCAGGUUAUCCCCCACUACCGGGCAGAUUCCUAUGCAUUACUCACCCGUCCGCCGCUCGCCACCAGGGAGCAAGCUCCCCGUGCUGCCGCUCGACUUGCAUGUGUUAGGCCUGCCGCCAGCGUUCAAUCUGAGCCAGAAUCAAACUCUGA
Molecule: ribosomal RNA, 507 nt
Filed under: uncultured bacterium
Lineage: Bacteria
Description: partial 16S ribosomal RNA
Source: RNAcentral